This 446-nucleotide ribosomal RNA is filed under the name uncultured bacterium. RNAcentral's name for it is "bacterial SSU rRNA". It matches the Rfam family "Bacterial small subunit ribosomal RNA", at positions 329 to 792 of the family's 1533-position model. The record is from RNAcentral.
GGCCAGACUCCUACGGGAGGCAGCAGUGGGGAAUAUUGCACAAUGGGGGAAACCCUGAUGCAGCGACGCCGCGUGAGUGAAGAAGUAUUUCGGUAUGUAAAGCUCUAUCAGCAGGGAAGAAAAUGACGGUACCUGACUAAGAAGCCCCGGCUAACUACGUGCCAGCAGCCGCGGUAAUACGUAGGGGGCAAGCGUUAUCCGGAUUUACUGGGUGUAAAGGGAGCGUAGACGGCAUGGCAAGUCAGAUGUGAAAGCCCGGGGCUCAACCCCGGGACUGCAUUUGAAACUGUCAGGCUGGAGUGCAGGAGAGGUAAGUGGAAUUCCUAGUGUAGCGGCGAAAUGCGUAGAUAUUAGGAGGAACACCAGUGGCGAAGGCGGCUUACUGGACUGUAACUGACGUUGAGGCUCGAAAGCGUGGGGAGCAAACAGGAUUAGAUACCCGAGUA